This 253-nucleotide ribosomal RNA is filed under the name uncultured bacterium. RNAcentral's name for it is "partial 16S ribosomal RNA". It matches the Rfam family "Bacterial small subunit ribosomal RNA", at positions 524 to 776 of the family's 1533-position model. The record is from RNAcentral.
UACAGAGGUCUCAAGCGUUGUUCGGAUUCAUUGGGCGUAAAGGGUGCGUAGGCGGCGCGGUAAGUCGGGUGUGAAAUCUCGGAGCUUAACUCCGAAACUGCAUUCGAUACUGCCGUGCUUGAGGACUGGAGAGGAGACUGGAAUUUACGGUGUAGCGGUGAAAUGCGUAGAUAUCGUAAGGAAGACCGGUGGCGAAGGCGGGUCUCUGGACCGCCACUGACGCUGAGACACGAAAGCGUGGGUAGCAAACAGG